AGAGUUUGAUCCUGGCUCAGAUUGAACGCUGGCGGCAUGCCUUACACAUGCAAGUCGAACGGUAACGCGGGGCAACCUGGCGACGAGUGGCGAACGGGUGAGUAAUGCAUCGGAACGUGCCUGGUAGUGGGGGAUAACUGCUCGAAAGAGCAGCUAAUACCGCAUACGACCUGAGGGUGAAAGAGGGGGAUCGCAAGACCUCUCGCUAUCAGAGCGGCCGAUGUCGGAUUAGCUAGUUGGUGGGGUAAAGGCCCACCAAGGCGACGAUCCGUAGCUGGUCUGAGAGGACGACCAGCCACACUGGGACUGAGACACGGCCCAGACUCCUACGGGAGGCAGCAGUGGGGAAUUUUGGACAAUGGACGCAAGUCUGAUCCAGCCAUGCCGCGUGUGGGAAGAAGGCCUUCGGGUUGUAAACCACUUUUGUCAGGGAAGAAAUCUUCUGAGUUAAUACCUCGGGAGGAUGACGGUACCUGAAGAAUAAGCACCGGCUAACUACGUGCCAGCAGCCGCGGUAAUUC
RNAcentral lists this ribosomal RNA (521 nucleotides) under uncultured bacterium. RNAcentral's name for it is "bacterial SSU rRNA". It matches the Rfam family "Bacterial small subunit ribosomal RNA", at positions 8 to 526 of the family's 1533-position model. The record is from RNAcentral.